AAGAUACUAGUAUAGAAGUCAGUACAUUGCUUUGUCAGGGCAAAAUCGUGAGUUAAACCCUCACGUAUCUUA
This 72-nucleotide transfer RNA is filed under the name Taenioides cirratus (bearded worm goby). Its description in RNAcentral is "tRNA-Asp". It matches the Rfam family "tRNA". Rfam says of the family: Transfer RNA (tRNA) molecules are approximately 80 nucleotides in length. Lineage: Eukaryota; Metazoa; Chordata; Actinopteri; Gobiiformes; Gobiidae. The record is from RNAcentral. RNAcentral also lists the same sequence under 1 other name.